GAGGGGCGGCCAGAGGAGGAAAACAAGAACAAAAUGGAGUAAGGGGACAGCUAUAAGAACAAAAUGGAGCUGUAACAGACAGUUGUUUUGGCUGAAACUUUCUAAAAAACUUCAACUUGAGGCAAACACUAGCCUUCAAGAUUCACGUAUUCAAGAUUCUCUCUGCAACCAUGAGGACUACAAACUAGCUUUUAAAAAAAAUGGAAUCUCAGAGUCUCAUGUAGUCACAAGACUUCAGGAGUUGAGACUUUAAGGAAAGCACCAAAUAUUCAUGAUGACAUUGUGAGAGACUUUGAAGGGCCAAUCCGACCUGCCAGCCAGUUGGAGGGAAACAGAGACGCAGCUAUGCUUCAAGCACUCCCCAUUAAAGCAGCCUUGAUGAUGCCGCCAGUAUUUAUUCUGGACUGCAGCCUGGACAGCUGCUAACUCUACUCACCCCUGGCAACAGGUCUAAGAACGGACAAGUUUAUUUCACCAUGGUGGAAUUGCAAACUGACUUCUUUUUUGUUUGCUUUUUUUUUUUAAGUAU
Molecule: long non-coding RNA, 529 nt
Organism: Mauremys reevesii (Reeves's turtle)
Lineage: Eukaryota; Metazoa; Chordata; Testudines; Geoemydidae
Exons: 3
Source: RefSeq, a predicted model, not a curated record